AUGAUCUAUUGCUUCCUCUGGCAUACAGUAAUUAGUAAAAUUUGGAAAGGAAAAUAAAUUGGUGCAAGUUUACAUGGAAUUGUCCAUAUUACACCUCUUCCUUUUCACUUAGGUCAAAACAUGUGCACGUGACUUUCUAAGGGUGAGAACGUAUUAUUCUAUUUAUUUUCAGGGGCAUAAAUAUGCAUAGAUCUAUCUAUUAUCUGAGGCUUUGCAUUCUGAAGAAUAGGACUUAAUUUUAACAAUAGUUGGCAUCUUUGUGGUACCUCUUGUUUUUUUAGCAUGGUUGUUUGGAUGGUUGGUUGGCUCCAUGUUUCAUUUUAAGUUUAAUUAACCAUGUUCUUUUCCCUUUUUCAUGCCAUAGAUUUGCCAUGAUGAGUACGACA
This 386-nucleotide unclassified non-coding RNA is filed under the name Hevea brasiliensis (rubber tree). Lineage: Eukaryota; Viridiplantae; Streptophyta; Magnoliopsida; Malpighiales; Euphorbiaceae. The record is from RNAcentral.